Molecule: ribosomal RNA, 407 nt
Filed under: uncultured bacterium
Lineage: Bacteria
Description: partial 16S ribosomal RNA
Rfam family: Bacterial small subunit ribosomal RNA
Source: RNAcentral
AUUGAACGCUGGCGGCAGGCCUAACACAUGCAAGUCGAGCGGAGUGGCGGACGGGUGAGUAAUGUAUAGGAAUCUGCCCGGUAGUGGGGGAUAACGUCCGGAAACGGGCGCUAAUAUCGCAUACUAUCAGAUGAGCCUAGGUCGGAUUAGCUAGUUGGUGGGGUAAAGGUCUACCAAGGCGACGAUCCGUAACUGGUGUGGGAGGACGAUCAGUCACACUGGAACUGAGACACGGUCCAGACGCCUACGGGAGGGAGCAGUGGGGAAUAUUGGACAAUGGGCGAAAGCCGGAUCCAGCCAUGCCGCGUGUGUGAAGAAGGUCUUCGGGUUGUAAAGCACUUUAAGUUGGGAGGCGUUACCAGCAGAAUAAGCACCGGCUAACUACGUGCCAGCAGCCGCGGUAAUAC